Molecule: long non-coding RNA, 1367 nt
Organism: Schistocerca gregaria
Lineage: Eukaryota; Metazoa; Arthropoda; Insecta; Orthoptera; Acrididae
Exons: 2
Source: RefSeq, a predicted model, not a curated record
ACGCGGAAGUUCUUUGGCGAUAGGUCACGUUUGUAAGUAUUGAUCUCGAGGGAAGGGAUUGUUGUCCCGCUGUACACUUUCGGAAGACGUUCGGUAAAGGUCCGUGCUGUUGCCUGAUGAACAAAAUACGAUCGUAUGAAAUAUCAGACCAGAUUUGUGAUUUUAGUGAGGAGUUCGUAACAAAUACAAUACAGCAUAACACAGUGUAUUUCACGAGUGCACAUCGUAAUAGUGAAAUAUGCAACUACACUUCAUAAAACUGAAAUAUGGACGUUAAAAUGGAAUAACUGCCACCAUAGCACAAGAAUGAUGCUUCAUCUUUAUAGUGAUUGGAUGUAUGUGCUGCAAUUGAAGAACACCACAUACAGCUGACCAGCAUAGGCGACACUGUGCCCCAAUUGUGUACUAGUACCAGUAUCUACCAAGUUUGAAACAUGAAGUAAAACUUGACUAAAGCAAGAUAUGCUAAGUCCAUGGCAAUACAAGGGCAAUAAAUGGGAACGUUGCUUUUAUUGAGUAGAUGAAUUUUAAUGAAUGCUAAUAUAAAAUAAUGAAGUUUAAUGUCUCUUAUACAUUGAUCAGCCAAAACAUUAUGACCACACCCAAUUGCAGCAAUGUUGGAUGCCACCUUGUGGCGCUGCAUGCAUGUGAUGUGGCAGCAAAAGUGUGUAAGCAGAGCAAACAUGGACAGGGAUCACUCUAGUGAAGAUUGGGCUGCAAAUGGGGAAAUCCACUGAGAUAAGUGACUUUGACAAAGGGCAUAUUAUUAUUACACAGAGCCCAUGAAUGACUAUGUCAACCAUGGUGAAAGGUGGUCAGAUGAUAACAUGCUACUGUUAUGAGCAUCUACAGAAAGAGGUAGAGAGAUAGUGAAACUACAACUAGGUGUUAAAUGAUUCAUGACCUGUGCAUAGAUGUCUAAUACCACCACAAACUUACCAACACCUUGUUCAAUCCCUGAUACACAGAAUCAGUGAUAUAUUUCAUUCCAGCUACGAAGAAACAAGUUAACUAGGUGUUAAAUGAUUCAUGACCUGUGCAUAGAUGUCAAAUAUGACCUGUGCAUAGAUGUCUAAUACCACCACAAACUUACCAACACCUUGUUCAAUCCCUGAUACACAGAAUCAGUGAUAUAUUUCAUUCCAGCUACGAAGAAACAAGUUAACGAACAGGUGGUCAUAAGGUUUUGGGUAAUCACUGUAUACGUAAAUGUUUCUGUUGCUUUUAAGUUUGACCUGAUUCAUUUAUUUCAUGUGAUACCUUUAACUGUUAGUGUUUUCAUAUAGCUUACCUACAAAUUUGACAACCUAGAGUAAUUAGAAUGUACAAGUAUAGAUUAUUUUUUUUUUUUUUUUUUUUUUUUUUUU